GUUGCCCAGAUAGACAACCCAAGAGGGGGGGUGAAUUGGGUUUUAAAAUAAUUUUUACAAUUAAAUGGUUUGUGAGAUACUAAUUAAUCCUUUUUGCAAGUUGAUUAAUUAGAUGCUAUGUGCAGUGAACGAAAUGAAAGUGAGAGAGACAAAUGCAAUCACAAACACAAUAAUUUUAUAGUGGUUCGGAGCUAACCCUUGCUCCUACGUCCACUCCCCAAGCCUCACUUGGGAAUUCUCUAUAACUCCUCGGAUUACAGCCGGUUGUUUUACAAGCUCACAACCAAACUUGUUGUUUUACGAGGUCACAACGAACUCGGUCGGUUUUUCCAGGCUCACCAACUAGAACCACCCCGAUUGUUUUUCCGGGAUCACAAUCGAACCCUUACACGUUGGUUUCAACCUAGGCUCACCAACAAACCUAUAUACCCUUGAUUCAAUCCCCUGAUUGA
RNAcentral lists this long non-coding RNA (452 nucleotides) under Phoenix dactylifera (date palm). Its description in RNAcentral is "long non-coding RNA (PDAC_LNC021522)". Lineage: Eukaryota; Viridiplantae; Streptophyta; Magnoliopsida; Arecales; Arecaceae. The record is from RNAcentral.